GAUGAAGAACGCAGCGAAAUGCGAUAAGUAAUGUGAAUUGCAGAAUUCAGUGAAUCAUCGAAUCUUUGAACGCACAUUGCGCCCGUUAGCAUUCUAGCGGGCAUGCCUGUCCGAGCGUCAUUUCAACCCUCAGGGUCCCCGUUCCGGCGGGGAACCUGGUGUUGGGGAUCGGCCCGCCCCGUGCGGCGCCGUCCCCCAAAUUCAGUGGCGGUCUCGCUGCAGCCUCCCCUGCGUAGUAGUUACAACCUCGGAUCGGAGCUCAGCGCGGCCACGCCGUAAAACCCCCGACUUUCUGAACGUUGACCUCGGAUCAGGUAGGAAUACCCGCUGAACUUAAGCAUAUCAAUAAGCGGAGA
This 356-nucleotide unclassified non-coding RNA is filed under the name soil metagenome. RNAcentral's name for it is "partial contains 5.8S ribosomal RNA, internal transcribed spacer 2, and large subunit ribosomal RNA". The stretch from base 1 to 120 matches the Rfam family "5.8S ribosomal RNA", at positions 35 to 154 of the family's 154-position model. The record is from RNAcentral.